Molecule: ribosomal RNA, 481 nt
Filed under: uncultured bacterium
Lineage: Bacteria
Description: partial 16S ribosomal RNA
Rfam family: Bacterial small subunit ribosomal RNA
Source: RNAcentral
GACGAACGUUGGCGGCGUGCUUAAUACAUGCAAGUCAACUGAAGCAGUGGUAGCAAUAUCGCUGUGGAGGUGGCGCACGGGUGAGUAACACGUAGGUAAUCUGCCUUCAGGUCUGGCAUAACUCCGGGAAACCGGGGCUAAUAGCAGAUGAUGCAGCGGCUCGACAUCGAGACAGUUGUUAAAGCUAUGGCGCCUGAAGAUGAGCCUGAGUCUGAUUAGCUAGUUGGCGGGGUAACGGCCCACCAAGGCAACGAUCAGUAGCUGGUCUGAGAGGAUGAUCAGCCACACUGGAACUGAGACACGGUCCAGACUCCUACGGGAGGCAGCAGUAAGGAAUAUUGCUCAAUGGGAGAAAUCCUGAAGCAGCAACGCCGCGUGAGGGACGAAGGGCUUUUGCUUGUAAACCUCUGUAGUGAGAGAAAAAAAUCCCAAUCUUUGGGACAUGAUGGUAUCUCAAAAGUAAGCCCCGGCUAACUGCGUG